RNAcentral lists this ribosomal RNA (403 nucleotides) under uncultured bacterium. Its description in RNAcentral is "bacterial SSU rRNA". It matches the Rfam family "Bacterial small subunit ribosomal RNA", at positions 355 to 774 of the family's 1533-position model. The record is from RNAcentral.
UGAGGAAUAUUGCACAAUGGAGGAAACGUCUGAUGCAGCAACGCCGCGUGGAGGAUGACGCAUUUCGGUGUGUAAACUCCUUUUAUAAGGGAAGAAAAUGACGGUACCUUAUGAAUAAGCACCGGCUAACUCCGUGCCAGCAGCCGCGGUAAUACGGAGGGUGCAAGCGUUACUCGGAAUCACUGGGCGUAAAGGACACGUAGGCGGGAUGCCAAGUCUGAUGUGAAAUCCUAUGGCUUAACCAUAGAACUGCAUUGGAAACUGGUAACCUAGAGUAUGGGAGGGGGAGAUGGAAUUAGUGGUGUAGGGGUAAAAUCCGUAGAUAUCACUAGGAAUACCGAAAGCGAAGGCGAUCUCCUGGAACAAUACUGACGCUAAGGUGUGAAAGCGUGGGGAGCAAACG